Molecule: long non-coding RNA, 1168 nt
Filed under: Homo sapiens (human)
Lineage: Eukaryota; Metazoa; Chordata; Mammalia; Primates; Hominidae
Description: novel transcript
Source: RNAcentral
GCUUCUCGCUGGAGUGCGCACCGAGCGGCAGUGACUUCGCCGCUGCUGUAGUUCCCCGGCUGGAUGCGGUGACUGGUGCCAGUGCUCAGGCGCCCGCUGCCCUUGACCUCCCGCCCCGCGAGCCCUAACUCAGCGCAGGAGGACCGGCUGCCGCCGCCGCCGCCGCCAGGAGGUAGAUUGGGAAGUGGAGCUGGCCGUGGUCAUUGGAAAGAAAGGCAAGCACAUCAAGGCCACAGAUGCCAUGGCCCACGUGGCCGGCUUCACUGUGGCUCAUGACGUGAGUGCUCGUGACUGGCUAACAAGAUGCAAUGGGAAACAGUGGCUGCUGGGAAAAACCUUCGACACCUUCUGCCCUCUGGGCCCUGCCUUGGUGACCAAGGACAGUGUAGCAGAUCCACACAACUUAAAGAUCUGCUGUCGAGUGAAUGGGGAAGUGGUCCAGAGCAGCAACACCAACCAGAUGGUAUUCAAGACAGAGGACCUGAUAGCCUGGGUGUCCCAGUUUGUUACCUUUUACCCAGGGGAUGUCAUCCUGACUGGGACCCCCCCACCUCCACCCAGGUGUCGGUGUAUUCAGGAAACCUCCUGUCUUUCUCAAGGUCUCUGAAGGUCCAGACAGCACUGAUGGCGAGCUUUGGGUCCGCACACUCUGGAAAGAAGAGAGAAGUGAAGGCUCUAGGGGGCAGCAGCCACCAGCAAACACCACUGCCUGCAGGAGCCUGGGCUGACUGGUUGGGACUCACCGAAGAUCCCUUCUUCCUGGGCGGUGGCCUGCAGGAACUGGAACAGCUGCUCUGUGUAGCCCAACUCUGCAGAAGAGAGAAGACCUAGACCUGGCACCCAGCACAGACACAGCCUGCCUCGAGGACUGCAAGGGAACAAGGGCCUCACCAGUAUCGGGCAGCUGGCCCUGGCGGAGGAAGGCGGCAGCCUGUGCAAAGGCCUUGAGCAGCGGGCUGAGCAGGCGGCAGAGGAAAAGAAAGAAAUCUGGGCAGUGUGACUGCUGGCUGAGCUGGAGGGGACAGGCCGGGGUGAGUGCAGCUCCCCACCGCCUCCCUACCACCUCCCUCCAGGGGCAGCUUUUUGAAACACACCCUGAAGUACCGGCCGUCAGCCUCUCCGAAGUCAUCACUGUCACUAUCAGUAAAGUCCCCACUCGGUUUCCACA